This 227-nucleotide ribosomal RNA is filed under the name uncultured bacterium. RNAcentral describes it as "partial 16S ribosomal RNA". It matches the Rfam family "Bacterial small subunit ribosomal RNA", at positions 383 to 607 of the family's 1533-position model. The record is from RNAcentral.
CUGAACCAGCCAAGUAGCGUGAAGGAUGACUGCCCUAUGGGUUGUAGACUUCUUUUAUAAAGGAAUAAAGUCGGGUAUGCAUACCCGUUUGCAUGUACUUUAUGAAUAAGGAUCGGCUAACUCCGUGCCAGCAGCCGCGGUAAUACGGAGGAUCCGAGCGUUAUCCGGAUUUAUUGGGUUUAAAGGGAGCGUAGGCGGACGCUUAAGUCAGUUGUGAAAGUUUGCGG